Molecule: ribosomal RNA, 253 nt
Filed under: uncultured bacterium
Lineage: Bacteria
Description: partial 16S ribosomal RNA
Rfam family: Bacterial small subunit ribosomal RNA
Source: RNAcentral
UACGUAGGGUGCAAGCGUUGUCCGGAAUUAUUGGGCGUAAGGAGCUCGUAGGCGGUUUGUCGCGUCUGCUGUGAAAACUCGGGGCUUAACCCCGGGCCUGCAGUGGGUACGGGCAGACUAGAGUGCGGUAGGGGAGACUGGAAUUCCUGGUGUAGCGGUGAAAUGCGCAGAUAUCGGGAGGAACACCGGUGGCGAAGGCGGGUCUCUGGGCCGUAACUGACGCUGAGGAGCGAAAGCGUGGGGAGCGAACAGG